Molecule: long non-coding RNA, 372 nt
Filed under: Salmo salar (Atlantic salmon)
Lineage: Eukaryota; Metazoa; Chordata; Actinopteri; Salmoniformes; Salmonidae
Description: lncRNA (ENSSSAG00000104940.1)
Source: RNAcentral
GUACCAGUACCAGAUCAAUGUGGAGCUACAUACAGGGAGUACCAGUACCAGAUCAAUGUGGAGCUAUAUACAGGGAGUACCAGUACCAGAUCAAUGUGGAGCUAUAUACAGGGAGUACCAGUACCAGAUCAAUGUGGAGCUAUAUACAGGGAGUACCAGUACCAGAUCAAUGUGGAGCUAUAUACAGGGAGUACCAGUACCAGAUCAAUGUGGAGCUAUAUACAGGGAGUACCAGCACCAGAUCAAUGUGGAGCUAUAUACAGGGAGUACCAGCACCAGAUCAAUGUGGAGCUAUAUACAGGGAGUACCAGUACCAGAUCAAUGUGGAGCUAUAUACAGGGAGGAGCAGUACCAGAUCAAUGUGGAGCUAUA